This 807-nucleotide ribosomal RNA is filed under the name Xenostigmina sp. B4-1. RNAcentral describes it as "eukaryotic LSU rRNA". It matches the Rfam family "Eukaryotic large subunit ribosomal RNA", at positions 113 to 939 of the family's 3401-position model. Lineage: Eukaryota; Fungi; Ascomycota; Dothideomycetes; Mycosphaerellales; Mycosphaerellaceae. The record is from RNAcentral.
AUUUGAAAUCUGGCCCUUUCAGGGUCCGAGUUGUAAUUUGCAGAGGGCGCUUUGGAGUCGGCAGCAGCCUAAGUUCCUUGGAACAGGUCAUCAUAGAGGGUGAGAAUCCCGUAUGUGGCUGCCUGCCUUCGCCGUGUAAAGCCCCUUCGAUGAGUCGAGUUGUUUGGGAAUGCAGCUCUAAAUGGGAGGUAAAUUUCUUCUAAAGCUAAAUAUUGGCCAGAGACCGAUAGCGCACAAGUAGAGUGAUCGAAAGAUGAAAAGCACUUUGGAAAGAGAGUCAAAAAGCACGUGAAAUUGUUGAAAGGGAAGCGCUUGCAGCCAGACGUGCCCGCAGUUGCUCAUCUGGGGUUCUCCCCAGUGCACUCUUCUGUGGGCAGGCCAGCAUCAGUUCGGGCGGUUGGAGAAAGACCUGUGUCACGUAGCUCUCUUCGGGGAGUGUUAUAGGGCAGGUGGAAUGCAACCAGCCUGAACUGAGGUCCGCGCAUCUGCUAGGAUGCUGGCGUAAUGGCUGUAAGCGGCCCGUCUUGAAACACGGACCAAGGAGUCUAACAUCUAUGCGAGUGUUUGGGUGUCAAGCCCGAACGCGUAAUGAAAGUGAACGGAGGUGGGAACCCCUCGGGGUGCACCAUCGACCGAUCCUGAUGUCUUCGGAUGGAUUUGAGUAAGAGCAUAGCUGUUGGGACCCGAAAGAUGGUGAACUAUGCCUGAAUAGGGUGAAGCCAGAGGAAACUCUGGUGGAGGCUCGCAGCGGUUCUGACGUGCAAAUCGAUCGUCAAAUUUGGGCAUAGGGGCGAAAGACUAAUCGAA